GUUGAGCGGAUCAGAGCUGCACUAAGGCAACCACCACCGAAUCAAUAACCAUCGAAAGUCCAAAGAUCUGCUAUCAAGCAUCAGAUCAGUCCUGAUCCGUGCCGUCAUCAUAUGCGUUCGCAACGAUAUCAAACAGGCGAGAUCAGAUUGCCCGUGCACCAUGGCAGCCGCCGCAACAAUCCAUACGCUGAGAGUCCCAUGCCAAGCCCUCGGGCCGUGGUAGAUCCUGGCCGCCAUGCGCGCGCCAUCGGGAGGGACGGGACGCACGUAGCUGACAAACACGAGUGUGUAGCUGAUCGAUCUCCGUGGUGACGAACUGACGUACACGAGCUCUCACACGCGUGCGUCAUCUCCGGGAAGGACGAGCGUGUGCCUGCAACGCAGCACCGUCGGGCUCCAAGAUCGAGGGUCAAGAGAAGAAGGGACUUGGCAUGAGAGGAGAUGAAGGAGGCCUAGCAGCCCCGUCGCCGCCGACCGGCUGGCCGGCCAGCCGACGGCGGCGUCGAGGAUGGAACGAUGGAGAGGCUUGUUAGGUUUGUUUCUUACUCGGUUUAAAC
Molecule: long non-coding RNA, 557 nt
Filed under: Hordeum vulgare
Lineage: Eukaryota; Viridiplantae; Streptophyta; Magnoliopsida; Poales; Poaceae
Description: long non-coding RNA (HVUL_LNC002156)
Source: RNAcentral